This 226-nucleotide ribosomal RNA is filed under the name uncultured bacterium. Its description in RNAcentral is "partial 16S ribosomal RNA". It matches the Rfam family "Bacterial small subunit ribosomal RNA", at positions 538 to 763 of the family's 1533-position model. The record is from RNAcentral.
GCGUUGUCCGGAAUUAUUGGGCGUAAAGAGCGUGUAGGCGGUCUGGUAAGUCUGCCGUGAAAACCCAGGGCUUAACCCUGGGCGUGCGGUGGAAACUGCCAGGCUAGAGGAUGGUAGAGGCGAGUGGAAUUCCGAGUGUAGCGGUGAAAUGCGCAGAUAUUCGGAGGAACACCAGUAGCGAAGGCGGCUCGCUGGGCCAUACCUGACGCUGAGACGCGAAAGCGUG